CCUACGGGCGGCAGCAGUGGGGAAUAUUGGACAAUGGGGGGAACCCUGAUCCAGCGACGCCGCGUGAGUGAAGAAGUAUUUCGGUAUGUAAAGCUCUAUCAGCAGGGAAGAAAGAAAUGACGGUACCUGACUAAGAAGCCCCGGCUAACUACGUGCCAGCAGCCGCGGUAAUACGGAGGGGGCAAGCGUUAUCCGGAUUUAAUGGGUGUAAAGGGAGCGUAGACGGGGAUGCAAGUCUGAAGUGAAAGGCGGGGGCCCAACCCCCGGACUGCCUUGGAAACUGUAUGGCUGGAGUGCAGGAGAGGUAAGUGGAAUUCCUAGUGUAGCGGUGAAAUGCGUAGAUAUUAGGCGGAACACCAGUGGCGAAGGCGGCUUACUGGACUGUAACUGACGUUGAGGCUCGAAAGCGUGGGGAGCAAACAGGAUUAGAUACCCCGGUAGUC
This 443-nucleotide ribosomal RNA is filed under the name uncultured bacterium. RNAcentral describes it as "partial 16S ribosomal RNA". It matches the Rfam family "Bacterial small subunit ribosomal RNA", at positions 338 to 795 of the family's 1533-position model. The record is from RNAcentral.